Molecule: microRNA, 22 nt
Filed under: Xenopus laevis (African clawed frog)
Lineage: Eukaryota; Metazoa; Chordata; Amphibia; Anura; Pipidae
Also listed under: 2 other names
Description: Xla-Mir-10-P3c4_3p* (star (passenger))
Source: RNAcentral
ACAAGUUAGGCUCUUGGGACCU